UACGUAGGAGGCGAGCGUUAUCCGGAUUUACUGGGCGUAAAGCGCGUGCAGGCGGUCUGGUAAGUUGGAUGUGAAAGCUCCUGGCUCAACCGGGAGAGGUCGUUCAAUACUGCCAGACUCGAGGACGGUAGAGGAGAGUGGAAUUCCCGGUGUAGUGGUGAAAUGCGUAGAUAUCUGGAGGAACACCGGUGGCGAAGGCGGCAUCCUGGACCGGCAUUGACGCUGAGGCGCGAAAGCCAGGGGAGCAAACGGG
This 253-nucleotide ribosomal RNA is filed under the name uncultured bacterium. Its description in RNAcentral is "partial 16S ribosomal RNA". It matches the Rfam family "Bacterial small subunit ribosomal RNA", at positions 524 to 776 of the family's 1533-position model. The record is from RNAcentral.